Molecule: transfer RNA, 83 nt
Organism: Coprinopsis cinerea okayama7#130
Lineage: Eukaryota; Fungi; Basidiomycota; Agaricomycetes; Agaricales; Psathyrellaceae
Rfam family: tRNA
About the family: Transfer RNA (tRNA) molecules are approximately 80 nucleotides in length. Their secondary structure includes four short double-helical elements and three loops (D, anti-codon, and T loops).
Source: Rfam
GGGCAGGUGAUCCGAUUGGUAAUGGUGAUUCUCUGUAAAAGAAUUGGUUAACGCCAAAAAAGGUUCGAUUCCUUUACUGCUCA